CUAAUAAGCGCGCGAGCGCCGCUGUUUAAACUUCAGCGGUUACGGUGCGCUGACUGCGCUCAGCGUUCGGGAGAACGACGAUUACAUUGGUAAGUGAGAAAAUUAAUUAAUUGCAGCUUAUUUCAAUUACUUUUACCUAAACCCUUGUCAUUUUUAGUUAGCCUAACGUUACACGUUUAUUUCAAGAAGCUAAAAAGAAGAAAGGUGGUUUAUCGCGUUGUCCAGGCCUGCGCAAUUCUCCGCCGGGAGAUUUUAUUGGACCUAACGUUAUAUGUAUAGGAAAAGAUGAAACAAAGUUUCGGUCAAAUCACCGUCAGACAGCCGUUAUAAACAUGAAUUCAAACCAAGAAGAACAAAGAGAGAAGCUGAUGGAGAUGUUACAAUUUUUUCUGUGAAUAACUGAGUAUUUGUUGUUUGAGAUGUUCAUCUAUCUCAGAGAGCACUUUUAAAGUUUUACCACCACCUUAUCAGAGUGCUGAAAAGUGGAAGUCAGAGGAAACAUGCCCAACUUGCUGCAAAACAAUAACACAAAAGGUACAUUAUUUCUUUUUCCUCACAGUACCAACUUUGGGGAAACUCAUAA
RNAcentral lists this long non-coding RNA (583 nucleotides) under Sinocyclocheilus anshuiensis. Its description in RNAcentral is "lncRNA (ENSSANG00000026568.1)". Lineage: Eukaryota; Metazoa; Chordata; Actinopteri; Cypriniformes; Cyprinidae. The record is from RNAcentral.